Molecule: unclassified non-coding RNA, 327 nt
Filed under: soil metagenome
Description: partial contains 5.8S ribosomal RNA, internal transcribed spacer 2, and large subunit ribosomal RNA
Rfam family: 5.8S ribosomal RNA (bases 1-120)
Source: RNAcentral
GAUGAAGAACGUAGCGAAAUGCGAUAAGUAGUGUGAAUUGCAGAAUUCAGUGAAUCAUCGAAUCUUUGAACGCACAUUGCGCCCCCUGGUAUUCCGGGGGGCAUGCCUGUUCGAGCGUCAUUUCAACCCUCAAGCUCUGCUUGGUAUUGAGUCCAUGUCAGCAAUGGCAGGCUCCAAAAUCAGUGGCGGCGCCGCUGGGUCCUGUACGUAGUAAUAUCUCUCGUUACAGGUGCUCGGCGUGCUUCUGCCAAAACCCCAAUUUUUCUAUGGUUGACCUCGGAUCAGGUAGGGAUACCCGCUGAACUUAAGCAUAUCAUAAGCGGAGGA